CGAAAAUAGCUUAAUAGGCAAAGCGUGAUUUUGCCAAAGUCAUUAUGAGGGUUCGAGUCCCUUUUUUCGCU
Molecule: transfer RNA, 71 nt
Filed under: Pyropia vietnamensis
Lineage: Eukaryota; Rhodophyta; Bangiophyceae; Bangiales; Bangiaceae
Description: tRNA-Gly
Rfam family: tRNA
About the family: Transfer RNA (tRNA) molecules are approximately 80 nucleotides in length. Their secondary structure includes four short double-helical elements and three loops (D, anti-codon, and T loops).
Source: RNAcentral